AGUGAACGCUGGCGGUAGGCCUAACACAUGCAAGUCGAACGGCAGCACAGUAAGAGCUUGCUCUUACGGGUGGCGAGUGGCGGACGGGUGAGGAAUACAUCGGAAUCUACUUUUUCGUGGGGGAUAACGUAGGGAAACUUACGCUAAUACCGCAUACGACCUACGGGUGAAAGCAGGGGAUCUUCGGACCUUGCGCGAUUGAAUGAGCCGAUGUCGGAUUAGCUAAUUGGCGGGGUAAAGGCCCACCAAGGCGACGAUCCGUAGCUGGUCUGAGAGGAUGAUCAGCCACACUGGAACUGAGACACGGUCCAGACUCCUACGGGAGGCAGCAGUGGGGAAUAUUGGACAAAGGGCGCAAGCCUGAUCCAGCCAUACCGCGUGGGUGAAGAAGGCCUUCGGGUUGUAAAGCCCUUUUGUUGGGAAAGAAAAGCAGCAGGUUAAUACCCCGCUGUUCUGACGGUACCCAAAGAAUAAGCACCGGCUAACUUCGUG
This 492-nucleotide ribosomal RNA is filed under the name uncultured bacterium. Its description in RNAcentral is "partial 16S ribosomal RNA". It matches the Rfam family "Bacterial small subunit ribosomal RNA", at positions 29 to 507 of the family's 1533-position model. The record is from RNAcentral.